RNAcentral lists this ribosomal RNA (501 nucleotides) under Mongoliana triangularis. RNAcentral describes it as "partial 16S ribosomal RNA". The record is from RNAcentral. Lineage: Eukaryota; Metazoa; Arthropoda; Insecta; Hemiptera; Issidae.
UGCCUGUUUUUUAAAAACAAGUUUUUAAGUUUUUUUUUGAGGUUUAGCCUGCUCAGUGAUUAUUUAAAUAGCCGCGGUAUUUUAACUGUGCUAAGGUAGCAUAAUAAUUAGUCUUUUAAUUGAGGUCUGGAAUGAAUGGUUGGACGAGAAAUUAACUUUAUUAAUUUUAUUAAUUUUGAAUUUUAUUUUUUAGUUAAAAAUCUAAAAUUUUACAGAGGGACGAUAAGACCCUAUAGAUCUUAAAAAUUUAAUUUUUUUUUUUUUUUUUGGUGUUUUUUUUUAUAUGGAUUAUUUUUUUUUGUUGGGGUGACAGCUAAAAUUUUAAACUUUAGUUUAUUUUUACAUUUAUGUUUGGCUUAUUGAUCCUUAAAUUGAGAUACAAAGAUAAAGAUACCUUAGGGAUAACAGCGUUAUAUAAUUGGAGAGUUCUUAUCGAUAAUUAUGUUUGCGACCUCGAUGUUGGAUUAAAAUUUUACUGUGGGGUAGGUUUUACAGUUUUAA